UGGGGAAUUUUGGACAAUGGGCGAAAGCCUGAUCCAGCAAUGCCGCGUGUGUGAAGAAGGCCUUCGGGUUGUAAGCACUUUUGUCCGGAAAGAAAUCCUUGGCUCUAAUACAGUCGGGGGAUGACGGUACCGGAAGAAUAAGCACCGGCUAACUACGUGCCAGCAGCCGCGGUAAUACGUAAGGUGCAAGCGUUAAUCGGAAUUACUGGGCGUAAAGCGUGCGCAGGCGGUUUGCUAAGACCGAUGUGAAAUCCCCGGGCUCAACCUGGGAACUGCAUUGGUGACUGGCAGGCUAGAGUAUGGCAGAGGGGGGUAGAAUUCCACGUGUAGCAGUGAAAUGCGUAGAGAUGUGGAGGAAUACCGAUGGCGAAGGCAGCCCCCUGGGCCAAUACUGACGCUCAUGCACGAAAGCGUGGGGAGCAAACAGGAUUAGAUACCCUGGUAGUCCACGCCCUAAACGAUGUCAACUAGUUGUUGGGGAUUCAUUUCCUUAGUAACGUAGCUAACGCGUGAAGUUGACCGCCUGGGGAGUACGGUCGCAAGAUUAAAACUUAAAUGAAUUGAC
Molecule: ribosomal RNA, 565 nt
Filed under: uncultured bacterium
Lineage: Bacteria
Description: partial 16S ribosomal RNA
Rfam family: Bacterial small subunit ribosomal RNA
Source: RNAcentral